AACUUGUGGAAUGAAAACUUGAUCUAAAAUCUAAGUUGUUAACGGAUAUGAUAUGGGAAGAUUGAGCUGCUGUUUAUCUGUUCCUAGAGAUGCUAGAAUUCUGAAGAAUUUUAUCUUUGAAAAAUCUUUAAAAUAUUGCAUGAUGAGUUCCUGUAUGAUGAGAGUUUAAAUUCCUACCACAGCCAUAUAUACAUGCUUGCUAGACUUUGAGCCACACAUUUACUAUUUACUGCUUAUGAGCAUUGAGUGUGGUCAAGCUGUGUAGACCCUUAGGAGCUUGUCAUGUGGUUAAAUCAAGAUUUCACUUGCACAUUCACUCAUAUAUGCUACUUCUACUCUGGAAGUACCAUCCACAUAUAUCCACUCAUUUCCAUCUCUAGAACUACCCAAAAAUAUUCUACUACUAAUCCGGGAGAGAAUAGCCAAAAAUAUUUCUAUUUUCCCUUGUGAAAUAAAUGCUCAAGUUAUCUUGCUACUACGACUUGCUAUAUUAUCUCAUGAGAUGAGUGCUCUAAAAAAAGAGAAAAAUAUAUAUAUAUAUACGAGGAAAUAAAAAGGGGCAAGUGCCCGGAACCUCGAAAGAAAAGAAAAAGUGAGACGAGAGGUAAAAAUGGACAAGUGUCCAAUAGUAGAAUUAGGGGAACAGGAUACCCACCUGAGAGGAAAGAAAAAUGAAAGAUAGAGCAUCUCAUUCUCCUCAUAAAGUUUCAAAAAGCAAGGAAGGUAUGUAUCCCCUCAAAAGAGCAAAAGUAGAAUUAGACUUUCACCAUUGUUAUCACCAUCAUUACCAUACACCAUUCAUUCGCCACACAUGCACAUCUUGAUUUGACUUAUUGACUUGUUUCUCUGGAUCCAUGGUUUGACUAUGCAAUAAAUGUCUUGUAAGUAUGUAUGAGCUGUCUCCCACCUAUGAGCUCCAGAUAUUAAAGCCUUAUUAGAGUAGGGUGAGAGAGAAGGCAAUGUCACUAUACCUUAUACCACAAAUACCACAUAUCUUGAGAGAAGGCAUAUACCAUCACUGCCUUGGUAAGGAUCCAGAAAUACCACAAAAGACAGAUUUAGAGAGUCAUACAAGGAAUCUCUGAGUUUUAUUUGAAAAUCUGCAAAAACUCCAGAGCUAUAGCUGAUCAAGAAUAAGAGACAUGGCACUUGGCUAGACUGUUUUAUCUUUUAACUACUCAAGACAGAAGUGACGGUUACA
RNAcentral lists this long non-coding RNA (1201 nucleotides) under Sorghum bicolor (sorghum). Its description in RNAcentral is "long non-coding RNA (SBIC_LNC014082)". Lineage: Eukaryota; Viridiplantae; Streptophyta; Magnoliopsida; Poales; Poaceae. The record is from RNAcentral.